This is a non-coding RNA of Arachis ipaensis, 1810 nucleotides long. The record is from RefSeq and is a predicted model, not a curated record. Lineage: Eukaryota; Viridiplantae; Streptophyta; Magnoliopsida; Fabales; Fabaceae.
UAUUCCCUCGUAACUUAAGAAAAAAAAAGAUAACCAUUUCUUCUUCGCAGAAGCCCUCCUUCUUCUUCAAACCCUUGUGUGUGUUCUUGCCAAGCCAUCUUUCGUCUUCAAACGGCCGCCAGUGCUCGUCGUUUCGUUCAUCUUCUUCUUCCCACUAUCGCCGAGCUCACUUCCCUUCCUCCCAGCCCCCACCAUCACCGAAGGCAGAAACCCCCACUUUAUUCACUGCAUAUCUCAACUCAGUCUCUCUUAACUAUAUGCGCUGUGGCUGCUUCAUUGCUCCUGGCCGUGGGUCGUCGUUGCUCCGCUCCUUGCUGUGGGACGUCACUGCUUCUUUGCCUCCUCGCCAGUCUUGCUGUUACUUCCCUGCUUUGUGUCGUGUCUCCCCGUCACCGCGAGCUCCCUGUCACCGUGAGCUCACCCUGUCUCACACUCUCCAAGCUCACUCUGCAUCGCCGUUCAUCUAUCACCAUCUCUCCGGUUUUUAUAGACAUCUUAUGUACUUUGGUUGUGGAAUAUCUCCAAAGACGUGAGGAUUUCUAGAAUGAGAUUCAUCUGGUCAUUGGUGAUAUUGUGGUUGGAAUUAUACCUCUCAUUAUUGUGGUGACCAAUUUAUCACCCAUAGCUAGAUUUGGAAACUAUUCUUAUAACUCCAAAGAUUUGCUUGGAGGCAUUCAGCAUACUAUUGCAUCUCUUCCUGGCAGUGUAUUCGAAGCUGAAAGGCCAGGAUGUAAAUUCACUCUAAAGCAGCGCAUUGCCACAUACUUCAUCAAGGUGCCUUACAUUUUUGGAGGGGAAAAAACUUUUUUUACUGUAAUUUGCUUUGUAGUAGCAGUUUAUUACUUUUGACACAUUUUCUGUUCAAGGUGCAUUGCAAGGAAUCAUGGCCUUUUUAAGUGCUCUUAUUGGUCAAGAAUUUCUAAAUGUUAUAAUAAUGAAUUCCAAAAGGUAUACAUAUGUAAAUAUACCUACCCUGAUAUCUUAUAUAUUAAAUCUUUUGAAUUCUUGUCACAGAAUUUAUAGAAAUAAUAAAAUAUGAUUGUUUUUAUUAUUAUUAUACCUAUAUAAAGCAGUGAUGUAUUAUUUUUAUUUGCAUUAUUGGAACAAACAUAAGUCCUCUCUCUUGAAAACUGCUGCUCUUUGGGGUAUGUAUUGCUCUCUCUUAAUUUUGUGAAUUUGAGUUUUUGAUUGGUGUGUUUUAUUCAGUUGAUUGAGUUUUUGUUCAUUAAACAGUUGAUGAAGAUAUGGAAAAGAUAUGUAAUAUGAAAAUGUGUUGCAGUAGUCUAUAUGUGUAUAAUCCUUUUAUAAAAUUUUGAUUUUAACACACAGUCAACAUUCCAUGGAAGACAAAUUUUAUUUGGCUAAUUAGAUCCUAUAUAUCUGAAGUGAAAUCUAGUCUUUGUCUAAGAUGUUAUUGCCAAUAAUCUAUAUUUUCUAGUUUACUUCUUAGCAAAUGCUCCUUGUUGUUUAGUGGUUGAAAUUUUAAUGUUGAUUGACUUAUUAAAUUUGUGCUCCAUAUUCAUUACUCAACUGUAUUGCAUCAUCAAAAACAUUUUUGCUAUGUUCUAGCAUGUUUAUUUCUUUUGCUAGCAAGAGGACAUGAUGUGAAGAAAAUAUGUUCUAUACAAAUAUAAGAUGGGAUGGGUCUUAUAAUGAUUUUGGUUAUCUAAAUGUAUUAUUUUGAUGUAUUCUUUACUUUUUGAUAAGAGACUUUAUCCGAUAUUACAUGUAAUGGAUAAAUUACACCUUAUUUUGAUUAGUGUUGUAAUGGAUAUCUAGUUUUUAAUGAAACUUUUAUGAUUUAGAUUUA